Long non-coding RNA from Alexandromys fortis (reed vole), 311 nucleotides. RefSeq lists it as uncharacterized. The record is from RefSeq and is a predicted model, not a curated record. Lineage: Eukaryota; Metazoa; Chordata; Mammalia; Rodentia; Cricetidae. The transcript is spliced from 3 exons.
GAGACGCCCAAAGAUGUGGCUUAGAGAGUCCCGCUCAGCGAGCACGAGGUGACGCCGGAAGGAUGGAGUUGAGACGGACAGAUCGGAGGACCUGAGAAACAGUGGUCCAACUCUAAUACCUAGCUGACCUCAAAUGUGAAGCAAUCCUCUAGCCUCAGCCUCCAGAGUGUUGGGAAUUAUAGUUAUCUGUUUCUUAGACCUGUUGUAGAAAAAGAGCUCAUCCUAUAUUCUGGCAAGCUGUAUGACGACAUGGACCCUCUUUGUUACAUGUUAACAGAAGUCAGUCCCAGAGCGUGGCUAAGAAAAAAGAA